CAUUGCUUUAUUGUAUUUAAAUACCAAUUAUUUUUGUUAUAAGAAAAAAGUUAUCAAAACCUGUUAUACUGUAUUAUGGCCACUUUCUUGAAGCUAAAUGUCAGUAUCAUGAUAAUACCUUAUACAGUGAUAAAAGCAAAAUUUGUUACUGGCAUAUCCCUACUUUUAAGAGGUAAAUGUACUGUAAAAUUCUCUCCCUUUCACCACUCACAGAAACACUCCUAGAAACCUUUCACACAUGCAUGUACUAUUUUACAUUCACAUGCUUAAUGUGGUGGUAUGCAACACUCAUAUUUCGCACUCACUUACAUGUAUAUGUCUGUAAUGACAGAUUUUUAGGGGCAAAGUACCUCCACACACAAUCAUACCGCAUAUAAUGCAAGAUCUCAAAAGACAUGGCUUAGUAUGGUGAAAAAAACAUCCAGAAAGACACACACAGAGGACACACAGCAUGAGUUAGUCAUAAAUAUUCAGUAUGGGAUGAUGAAGUCUCGAGUGUAAUGGAUCAGGCUGGAUCCUGGUCACGUACUGUAUAGACAGAUUGAGGGAUAAAAGAUGGAGUCAUUACUAUGCAGAACAGAUUGUGCAUCUGUGUGUGUGUGUGUGUACAUGCAUUUAAAUGCUGACUCCUGCUCUGUUGAACUCCACAGCUCAUGAGGACCUCAUACAUGAAGCAUGAACUUGUGCAGCUGCCUUUUAUCGAACAUAACCAGUGUGAGUGCAGGCUAAAAGCAAAUCUUUAUGCAGAGCCAACCAGGCAAGGCCUACAGACAGCAAGAAAAGGUAAAAAGCGGCAAAGGGGGAAACCAAAGCGAAAGAAACACUUGGGGAAAAAGCCGACUCUAGUGCCAACUACACCCCCUCCUCCUCCCCCUCCCACUCUACCGCCUAGCUCCGCCCCUCCACCACCUGCCAGAGAGGCGUGUCCACCAUGCCCCACCCGCAGAAUGACAUCACAGCCUCCCUCCUGUGAAUGCAGGUGCAGUUUGAGGGAGGUGAGCUGUACAAAAAGAGGGAAGACACUCAACCAGCACAGCUGCCGAUGUGAAACCCAAAGCGAAUAG
This 1064-nucleotide long non-coding RNA is filed under the name Carassius auratus (goldfish). RNAcentral describes it as "lncRNA (ENSCARG00000026793.1)". The record is from RNAcentral. Lineage: Eukaryota; Metazoa; Chordata; Actinopteri; Cypriniformes; Cyprinidae.